This 315-nucleotide ribosomal RNA is filed under the name uncultured eukaryote. Its description in RNAcentral is "partial 18S ribosomal RNA". It matches the Rfam family "Eukaryotic small subunit ribosomal RNA", at positions 1470 to 1796 of the family's 1831-position model. The record is from RNAcentral.
CCCUUAGACGUUCUGGGCCGCACGCGCGCUACACUGACCAGUGCAACAAGCAUCCGUCCUUGGCCGACAGGCUCGGGCAAUCUUUGAACGCUGGUCGUGAUGGGGAUAGACUUUUGCAAUUUUUGGUCUUCAACGAGGAAUUCCUAGUAAACGCAAGUCAUCAACUUGCAUUGAUUACGUCCCUGCUCUUUGUAUACACCGCCCGUCGCACCUACCGAUUGAAUGGUCCGGUGAAGCCUCCGGAUUGGCGCGCACCUCGGUGCCGCCGAGAAGUUGGCUAAACCUUACCAUUUAGAGGAAGGUGAAGUCGUAACA